AAAUUAUCAGACAGGUUUAAUUCAAUUCAUGCCAGGCCCAAUAAAAAGUGUUCCUUUAAUUUUUGUGAGCAGUGCAUGAAGUACAUGAAGACUUCAUGAAUGUCUGCUACUGUGUACAUGCAGACGGCGCUCACACCCCUGAAGAAAAUAGCACUGAAGUUAGAACGCAGACAUCAGCUGCAGACAAGAAGCACCAUGGAGGACAUUCCUUAAGAUUGUAGAAAAUUAACAGCUGUGAGCACAUUUACCACUGUGCUGUCAAACAUGAGUCUCAAAACCAGAGUUGCUGGGUGGAGCACAGCUGUGAUUGACUGAAGACCUUCACCAAGCUGUUUCUUGUGAGGAACCAACAUGCAGAGGCCUGUAUGUGCUGGUGGGACAAAUAAAGGAGACGCACAUCUUCAAUGAAGACAGGAAGCUCAGCAAUCAUCCAGAGCAGCUGGUGUUCAGUGAACUUUGCAGAAGGAGAAGAGAAAAAAAGACAUCUACAAACAUCAAAGAGGCAGCCGGGAGCUCAUGCUUUCAAUCAGAAGCAGACACCCGUCCUCCUUUGGGCUGCAGGACUUUGAGGAGCUGGGGGUCUUCCAGACGUACUCGGCAUGGAGGGAAGACACGGGACAACGCAGGAAAUAUCUGGAUCCAGAGGGAAGGACGAUCGGGCUGUUUUCCACUUUUUCUGAAGGAAAAGAAGGAGAGAUGCUUCAGAUCAGUCUGGAUAAAAGCUUUGAAGCUACAGCAGCCGAUACCAGUUUGACAAACAGGACAAACUGGAGGGCCCUUGCAGAGUUCCUGACAAAUUUAAAGCUGAAUAUGUGGGGUUUUCUCUACUUACUGGUAAAUAUACUGUUCUUAGCUGUCACAUUUACGUGUGUGAAUGUUUUUUUUCCUGUUUGACGUAUUCUCUUGAGGAAAGAGGUGAACAGCAGUCGCAGCUCAGGAACUGCUGGACAGCUAAACCUACCAGAAAGUCACUUCCUUGAACCAAAAACCAAAGGAGUAAGUUGACACACCUGGGAACAGGAAGUGACCCAA
Molecule: long non-coding RNA, 1032 nt
Organism: Oryzias melastigma (Indian medaka)
Lineage: Eukaryota; Metazoa; Chordata; Actinopteri; Beloniformes; Adrianichthyidae
Exons: 3
Source: RefSeq, a predicted model, not a curated record